Molecule: ribosomal RNA, 820 nt
Filed under: Pseudomonas sp. AMF2704
Lineage: Bacteria; Pseudomonadati; Pseudomonadota; Gammaproteobacteria; Pseudomonadales; Pseudomonadaceae
Also listed under: 1 other name
Description: bacterial SSU rRNA
Rfam family: Bacterial small subunit ribosomal RNA
Source: RNAcentral
UGCAGUCGAGCGGAUGAAGGAGCUUGCUCCUGGAUUCAGCGGCGGACGGGUGAGAAAGGCCUAGGAAUCUGCCUGGUAGUGGGGGACAACGUUUCGAAAGGAACGCUAAUACCGCAUACGUCCUACGGGAGAAAGCAGGGGACCUUCGGGCCUUGCGCUAUCAGAUGAGCCUAGGUCGGAUUAGCUAGUUGGUGAGGUAAUGGCUCACCAAGGCGACGAUCCGUAACUGGUCUGAGAGGAUGAUCAGUCACACUGGAACUGAGACACGGUCCAGACUCCUACGGGAGGCAGCAGUGGGGAAUAUUGGACAAUGGGCGAAAGCCUGAUCCAGCCAUGCCGCGUGUGUGAAGAAGGUCUUCGGAUUGUAAAGCACUUUAAGUUGGGAGGAAGGGUUGUAGAUUAAUACUCUGCAAUUUUGACGUUACCGACAGAAUAAGCACCGGCUAACUCUGUGCCAGCAGCCGCGGUAAUACAGAGGGUGCAAGCGUUAAUCGGAAUUACUGGGCGUAAAGCGCGCGUAGGUGGUUUGUUAAGUUGGAUGUGAAAUCCCCGGGCUCAACCUGGGAACUGCAUCCAAAACUGGCAAGCUAGAGUAUGGUAGAGGGUGGUGGAAUUUCCUGUGUAGCGGUGAAAUGCGUAGAUAUAGGAAGGAACACCAGUGGCGAAAGGCGACCACCUGGACUGAUACUGACACUGAGGUGCGAAAGCGUGGGGAGCAAACAGGAUUAGAUACCCUGGUAGUCCACGCCGUAACGAUGUCAACUAGCCGUUGGGAGCCUUGAGCUCUUAGUGGCGCAGCUACGCAUUAAGUUGACGCCUG